RNAcentral lists this ribosomal RNA (404 nucleotides) under uncultured bacterium. Its description in RNAcentral is "bacterial SSU rRNA". It matches the Rfam family "Bacterial small subunit ribosomal RNA", at positions 355 to 776 of the family's 1533-position model. The record is from RNAcentral.
UGGGGAAUAUUGCACAAUGGAGGAAACUCUGAUGCAGCGAUGCCGCGUGAGGGAAGAAGGUUUUCGGAUUGUAAACCUCUGUCUUAAGGGACGAUAAUGACGGUACCUUAGGAGGAAGCUCCGGCUAACUACGUGCCAGCAGCCGCGGUAAUACGUAGGGAGCGAGCGUUGUCCGGAAUUACUGGGUGUAAAGGGAGUGUAGGCGGGAUGGUAAGUUAGGUGUGAAAUGCGGAGGCUCAACCUCCGAGCUGCACUUAAAACUGCUGUUCUUGAGUGAAGUAGAGGUUGGCGGAAUUCCCAGUGUAGCGGUGAAAUGCGUAGAUAUUGGGAGGAACAUCAGUGGCGAAGGCGGCCAACUGGGCUUUUACUGACGCUGAGGCUCGAAAGCGUGGGGAGCAAACAGG